AAAUAUAUAAUAUAAAAUCUACUCAUCAUAACCCUCAGUUAAUGUCAUUUUGUAGGAUUACUUUUGACAAAUUGUAAUAUUUAUUCCAAUUAAUUAUUCUUAAAUGAAUCUGCAUGACUAGAUGUAUGCAUGAAGUAGACAGAAGGAAGUUUUUUUUUAUGUUCUGUUGAAGGAAUUGUUUUAUGCUCGCUGAUUGCCCCCUUCGCUCCCCGAACUUUGCAAGGCGUUUGUCAAUUUUCUUUGUGAACUUUAAAUCUAGUCGAUGACUCCCUAAACCUUUAUAAUUAGUCGAUUUAAUCUUUGAAUCAUAGCUUUUAAUCCGUUUUACGGCAUUGAAAGUACAAUUUAACAACCCCAAUCUCCAUAGAAAAUAUCCAAUAAAUCAAAUUAAUUUAGGUAAUACGUACCUUUUAAUUCCCCAACACUCACCAAAUUAUUUCUUUUAAAAAGUUAAAAGUGCUUUUAAGUUUCUCUGUCAAACGCUAUCAUAAGCACUUUUGAUGAUCUAAAAGUGAUUUUAGUUAUUUUUAAGCACCUUCAAACAUACCCGAGUACAGCGCUAAACUAUCGUUUGAACUCAUUCAUAGUAAAAAAACGUGACUUAACAAUGACUUAACAAUGACUUAACAAUAAAUAGUAUUCCCACCUAAUGAAUAUUAAAUAAGAUAGAAUGUGUAUGAUGUAGAUGGAAAACCAUAAUGUUUAUGUUCUGGUCAUCAUCCACGUCUUCGUCUAGUUGGAUGGAAAAAUAUCAGUGUCAAGAUAUAAAAUGAGAUCCCCUUUGGAUUCUGUGUUCAGAGCCCGCAAACCAAAAUAUCGGACCAUUUAAGAAAGAGAGAAAGAGAUCCGGGCCGUUUCAGUGUUUGAAUUUUUGUUAAGUGGACCAAUUGGAUAGGCUAAUGAAAGCCGUAAGAUUGAAAUUAAGUAGUCCGGAUCUCUCGGUCCGCGAGCUUCCAACACAAAGAUCCGGAGUGGAUCUUAAUCCGUCAAGAUAUGGAUGCAUCACACAUGUAGUUGGUAAAACAGCCCAGCUAUAAUAACUUGCAAAAUUAUAAAACCAAAAUUAAAAAGUUGGAAUGCGAAAUCUCUAACUCUAUCACCACAGCACAAAGAAAACAGUACCUUCAAGUAUCUGCCUUCAGGCACGCUUGCUAAAAGAAAAACG
This 1165-nucleotide long non-coding RNA is filed under the name Malus domestica (apple). RNAcentral describes it as "long non-coding RNA (MDOM_LNC005337)". Lineage: Eukaryota; Viridiplantae; Streptophyta; Magnoliopsida; Rosales; Rosaceae. The record is from RNAcentral.